RNAcentral lists this ribosomal RNA (330 nucleotides) under uncultured methanogenic archaeon. RNAcentral describes it as "bacterial SSU rRNA". It matches the Rfam family "Archaeal small subunit ribosomal RNA", at positions 139 to 470 of the family's 1478-position model. The record is from RNAcentral. Lineage: Archaea; Methanobacteriati; Methanobacteriota.
ACUGGGUAUAAUCCCCGAUAGAUCUCGGUCGCUGGAAAGCCCCGAGAUCGAAAGCUCCGGCGCCAGAGGAUGGGUCUGCGGCCUAUCAGGUAGUAGUGGGUGUAGCGUACCUACUAGCCUACGACGGGUACGGGUUGUGAGAGCAAGAGCCCGGAGAUGGAUUCUGAGACACGAAUCCAGGCCCUACGGGGUGCAGCAGGCGCGAAAACUUUACAAUGCCGGCAACGGCGAUAAGGGGACCUCGAGUGCCAGGUUACAAAUCUGGCUGUCGUGAUGCCUAAAAAGCAUUGCAUAGCAAGGGCCGGGCAAGACCGGUGCCAGCAGCCGCGG